Molecule: ribosomal RNA, 484 nt
Filed under: uncultured bacterium
Lineage: Bacteria
Description: partial 16S ribosomal RNA
Rfam family: Bacterial small subunit ribosomal RNA
Source: RNAcentral
AUUGAACGCUGGCGGCAUGCUUUACACAUGCAAGUCGAACGGCAGCGCGGGCUUCGGCCUGGCGGCGAGUGGCGAACGGGUGAGUAAUACAUCGGAACGUGCCCAGUAGUGGGGGAUAGCUCGGCGAAAGCCGGAUUAAUACCGCAUACGACCUGAGGGUGAAAGCGGGGGAUCUUCGGACCUCUCGCUCUUUGAGCGGCCGAUGGCAGAUUAGCUAGUUGGUGGGGUAAAGGCCUACCAAGGCGACGAUCUGUAGCUGGUCUGAGAGGACGACCAGCCACACUGGGACUGAGACACGGCCCAGACUCCUACGGGAGGCAGCAGUGGGGAAUUUUGGACAAUGGGCGAAAGCCUGAUCCAGCAAUGCCGCGUGUGUGAUGAAGGCCUUCGGGUUGUAAAGCACUUUUGGCGGGAACGAAAAGGACUGUGCCAAUACCACGGUUCGAUGACGGUACCCGCAGAAUAAGCACCGGCUAACUACGUG